Molecule: ribosomal RNA, 449 nt
Filed under: uncultured bacterium
Lineage: Bacteria
Description: bacterial SSU rRNA
Rfam family: Bacterial small subunit ribosomal RNA
Source: RNAcentral
CCCAGACUCCUACGGGAGGCAGCAGUGGGGAAUAUUGGGCAAUGGAGGAAACUCUGACCCAGCAACGCCGCGUGAAUGAUGAAGGUCUUCGGAUUGUAAAGUUCUUUUCUAAGGGAAGAAGAAAGUGACGGUACCUUAGGAAUAAGCCUCGGCUAACUACGUGCCAGCAGCCGCGGUAAUACGUAGGAGGCAAGCGUUAUCCGGAAUGACUGGGCGUAAAGGGUGCGUAGGUGGUUUGACAAGUUGGUAGCGUAACUCCGGGGCUCAACCUCGGCACUACUACCAAAACUGCCAAACUUGAGUGCAGGAGGGGUAAGUGGAAUUCCUAGUGUAGCGGUGAAAUGCGUAGAUAUUAGGAGGAACACCAGUGGCGAAGGCGGCUUACUGGACUGUAACUGACGUUGAGGCUCGAAAGCGUGGGGAGCAAACAGGAUUAGAUACCCUAGUAC